UUUUGUUUUUUAUAUAAGAUUCAAAUUAUACAUAUGUUCGAUAUUCCUAGUGAACAUAUAAAAGAUUUCAUCACAAUUUUUUUUUUGCUAAAUUAAGAUUUCAUCACAAUUCACAUGCAUGCACUAAGAAGUCAGAAAUUAUGCGAUUGAGAUUAACGAUAUUUCACAACUAGUUGACAAUUUUUGUUUUUCCUUCUUUCUUACUUGGUGUAAAGAGUGGUUGACAAUUAAAGCAAAAAAAAAAAAAAAAAGUAUUCUCUUCCGAACUACGUCGACGUACGUUAUCAAAUAUAUAGUUUAAAGAUGUUAUACCAUUCGAUAUUCUUGGUUUUGCGGCAUAUAAUAAACAAGCCAUGCAAUUAUAUGUCUUUUCAGUGAAUCAAAUAAUCUUAUAUCUUGUAAAAAAUAAAAAAAUCUAAAGAAUAGCAUAUAAAUUUAAACAAAAAGAUCAUGCAGCGUAUAUAUAUAUAGUCUCUUCUCUCGAUGGAACUAUGUUGUCAAGAAUAGUUUUUUCUUGAGUAUAUUCUAUUCUACAGAAAUAGUUAUCUAUACUUACUAGUGAAUGAGGAACGUACGUACAAUUAAAAGUUUAAAACCAAAAUAAAAAAUAA
RNAcentral lists this long non-coding RNA (611 nucleotides) under Capsella rubella. RNAcentral's name for it is "long non-coding RNA (CRUB_LNC001472)". Lineage: Eukaryota; Viridiplantae; Streptophyta; Magnoliopsida; Brassicales; Brassicaceae. The record is from RNAcentral.